RNAcentral lists this long non-coding RNA (5604 nucleotides) under Homo sapiens (human). RNAcentral describes it as "HSALNT0217521". Lineage: Eukaryota; Metazoa; Chordata; Mammalia; Primates; Hominidae. The record is from RNAcentral.
GGGGUAUUCUGGUUGCCUUACCCAGCUCUGAAGUCUGUCAGCCUCUUCAGAUGUCACUUGCCAUGUGGUAAGGAAGUGUAGUCAGCAGCUGGUGCAGUGGGAAGAAGAGAAAGGAAGUUCCCCAAGACAAAAACAUCUCGGCAGACCGUGAUCAUGGGCUACAUUCUCCGUACCAGCUUCAUAGCUCCAGUGAGAAAAUAAAUUCCUGCAUCCAGGAGAUGUGGAGUAAGAGAUACAGCUGCCCUUGACCAUAUUUCUUACUUCCGAGAAGAUCGUAGCAGUAAUUCAGUACAGUCUUCAGGGAACACCAAGGCCUGUUUGAUUUUCCAAGUAUCAACAAGUGGAGUUGACAAGAGUGACAAGUGGUCAGAGCAAAGCAUUUCAUGAUGACUGUAACGUGCCUGUGUCAGCAGCGACUGCUUACAGUGAGAUUCACAUGACCAUCGUUUAUGACAUAGGAAGAAUAAAAGGAGAGAGAGAGAGAAAGAUAGGUAGUUGAUCAAAAUGAAGAAUUGGAUUUGGAAAGCAACUUCGAAUAGUCUCUGCUUAUAUUUCUGAGAUUAAGGCAAACAGUCUCAAGAAUCUCAUCCAGGAUACCUCAUCACAGGCUGGAGUGCAGUGUCAUGAGCUUGGCUCACUACAGCCUCCAUCUUCUGUGCUUAAGGAUCCUUCCCUCUCAACCUCCAAGGUAGCUGAGACUACAGGUAUGUGCCACCAUGCUGGACUAAUUUAUUGUUGUUGUUGUUGUUUGUUAGAUUUUUGGUAGAGGCAAGGUUUCACCAUGUUGCCCAGGCCAGAGUCAAACUCCUGGGCUCAAGUGAUAUUUAUUUUGUUAUAGAGAUGGGGUCUUAAUGUGGUGCCCAGGCUAGUCUGGGAUUACAGGUGUGAGCCACUGUGCCUUGCCAAAAACUGCCAUUCUCAUCAUAUCGUACCAAGAGUACAAACUCAACAAGGGUACAAACUGUCAACCAGAGUAGACAUUCAUUAUUGGCAGAAUGUCUACAAAUUCCUUUAAACCUUCACCAUAAACAUGUGCCUACUCUCUUCCAAUUAUUUCAUGUGUAUUAAUUUAUUCAUUUAUACAUGCAUCUUUUAUUUAUAUCAUUAUCUAAAUAUGGAGAUUUAUUUUACAAUGCGUAUGUGCUAUUUUUUUUUUUUUGAGACAGAGCCUUUCUCUGUUGCCCAGGCUGGAGUGCAAUGGUGCGAUCUCAGCUCAUCGCAACCUCUGCCCCCUGGGUUCAAGCGAUUCUAGUGCCUCAGUUUCCUGACUGGCUGGGAUUACAGGCAUGAGACACUACACCUGGCUAAGUUUUGUGUUUUUAGUAGAGACAGGGUUUCACCAUGUUGGCCAGGUUGGUCUUAAACUCCAUACCUCAGAUGAUCCACCCUCCUCGGCCUCCCAAAGUGCUGGGAUUACAGGCAUGAGCCACCAUGCUUGGCCGCUAUUUUUUUUUUUAAUUGCACAAAUUGUUCCAGUGUUGGCUAUUGGAAGGUUUUUAAGUUGUCUCUUGUAUCACUUUGAAAUACCUCCAUAAUUAAAGUUUGAUGUUGUGUGGUUGGUUGGUUUUGUUGUUGUUUGGCAUUUUCUUUUGUUCAGUCACUAUUAUAUGCUCCAGUCUAUGAAUUUAAUUGUGCUCCAGGGUAAUUUGGUAAUUUUAUAAUUUCUACGAAUGUUUCCAACACCAUAUGACCUAAUCCAGCACCAUAUAAAUGGAUCCACUCAUUCUCUCAUUUGUAUGUAAUCUAGCACUCCCUGCAAGCAAGUUGAUGUUGUUAAUUUAAUCAUGCUACCUGAACAAGGUAUAUUGCUAUGUAGAAAAAUACAAGUUGAAACAGUCAAAAUACUGUGUAAUUCCAUUCAUAUGACUCUGUAGAAAAGGAAAAAGUGUAGUGAUAGUAGAGUUCAGUGGUAACAAGGGGCUUGGGAGAGAUAUAGGUGACAUCAGUGAACUACCGAAGAUUUCUUUUGGGCAGUGAAAUUCCUCUUUGAUACUGUAACGGUGGAUACAUCAUAAUGUUUUCCAAAUCCUGAAGAACUUUGUAACACAAAGAGUGUAGCUAAUUUAUGCAAAUUAAAAACCUUAUUUAGGAGGUCACAAGUUUGCCUUUUCACAGUAUUUUACCUUUUCCAACUUAUAUUUUUUAGCAAUAUGCUUUUUAGAUUUUUGAAGUACACCUCAUGGUUUUUAGAUUUGCCUUCACCUAAUUGUUGUAGGACAGGUGAGUCACACAAUUGGGGCUUAUCCUGAGAGGGUUAUUAGCUUUGUCCAGGAAAGAAUUUAAGGGCAAGUGGGUGAUGUUAGACUGCAAUAUUUUAUUGAAUGGUACUGCUCCUAGCAGAGCAGGGCUAACUCUUAAGCAGUGUGUUCAGAGUUGGCAACAUAUAGGCCUCCUGGCAACUGUGUUUAUAUGCAAUCAAACCCACUUUUAAUUAUAUGCAAAUUGAGGGGCAGAUCAAUGCAAAUUGAGGCAGGAAAGGGGCAGUGACUUCUAGGUUGUCUCCAUGGAAAGGGGCAGUAACUUCUGAGCUGUAGCCAUGGAAUUUGUAAACAGUUAUGUGGUUGGUAGGAGUGUCAUAUGAGUGACAAAUGAAGACUGCCAGGGAUCACAUUUACCACAAUGUACACGCUUCUGUCAGUUUUUUCCCUUUAUCCUGUCUGGAGCAGAUCUUAUUUUGGUCAUCAAGGUUGUGAAACCAGAAAACAAGUCCUUCCAGUCUCCUACCUCAUAAUGACAAAAGACAUUGAGCAUAAUUUCAUGUGAUUUUGGAUAUGACUAUGGCUUUCUUUUGAGAGUUGGCUAUUUAAGAUUUUGCCAUUUUUGAUUGGGAUAUUUGCCUUUUUAAUUUUGAGUUGUAAGACAUUGUAUAUUCUGGAUAAUAGACCAUUAUCACCUAUAAAAUUUGCAAUUUUCACAUAUUUUCUGCCAUUCUUUGGGUGCCUCUUUAUAUUUGAUGGUGGACUUUAAAUUGCAAAAGAUUUUAAUUCUAAUGAAGUUUAAUAUUUCUAUAUUUUCUUCUUUCCUUUGUGCUUUUCAGUGUCAUAUCUUAAAACAUUGUUUAACCAGAGACCACAAAGAUGUAUUCCUGUGUUCCUUUUUAUGGGUUGGCCCUGUUUAGCUCUUAUAUUUAGAUGGAUUAUCAUUUUGAGUCAAUUAUGUUUCUGGUAUGAGGCAAGAGUCUAACUUGCAUGUGGAUAUCCACUUGACCCACAAACAUUUGACAAGAAAAUAUUGCUUCAUACCUAAUUUAUUUGGCCACAGUAUAAAAGCAUUUCACCAUAAAUGUAGGGAUUCAUUUUUCAGUAUUAUAUUCUCUACUCCAUUGAUCAAUACAUAUAUCCCUAUACUAGUACCACAAAUCUUGAUUACUAUUACUUUGUAGUAAGUUUUGCAAUCAAGAAGCAUAUGUCUACUAUGCAAACCCUUUUUGUCCUUCUCAAGAGUGUUUUGGCUGCUCAUGAUCUAUAUUAUAUAUAAUUUUAGGAUAAACUUCUGAAUUUAGGGGAAGGUAAUGCCACCUGGUGUUUUGAGAGAAGUUGCAUUAAUUCUAUAGAUCCAUUUGGAAAAUAUUGCCAACCUAACAAUAUGCAUUCUGUAGUUUUUAGUGUACAUAUCUUAUACUUAAUUUGAUAAGGUUAUUCCUAAGUAUUUUUGAUGUGAUCUUAAUUGGAACGAUUUUCUGAGUUUUGUUUUUAGAUUGUUAAUUGCUAGUAUAGAGAAAUUUAAAAUAUUUUAUAUAUUUUAUAUGCUGCAAACUUCUUUGAACUCAUCUUUAAAUUCUAAACAUAUUUGAUAGAGUCCUUUGGACUUUUUAUACAUGAGAUCAUGUCAUUUGCAAACAGUCGGAGUUUGACUUCCUUUCCAUACUAGAAACGUUAUAUUUAUUUUUCUAAAUGAAUUGCCCUGUCUACAUUCUCCAGUACAAUGUUGCGAACAAGUGUCAACAGUGGAAAUAUUUGACUUCUUUCUAAUAUCAGAGAAAUUAGUGAACCUUUCAGAUUACUUAUGAUGAUAUGUGAGCUUUUCAUAGAUGCCCUUUGAAAUGAAGAAAGUUCUCUUAUCUGCCUAAUUUGCUGCAUGUUUUUAUAAUACUGAAUCUGGGAAUUUUCAAGUGCUUGUUGCACACCUUCUGAGACGAUUGUGUAGUUUUUAUUCUUUAUUAAUAUAGUGUAUGACAUUAAUUGUAUCAUAUGUUGAACCAAAUUUGCAUUCCUGAGGUAAAUACCUUUUGCCAUAGUUUAUAAUACUUUCUACAUGUUGCUGAUUUCAUUUGAUAAUAUCUCGCUGCUGAUUUUUGUCUCUGUAUUUAUAAGGCAUAUUGGUCUUCAUUCUCCUUAUUUGAAAUGUCUUUGUGUAGUUGUUCAAUCAGGGUAAACUAAUUCAUAGUAUACAAUGGGAAGUGAUCUAUUUUCUACUUCUUUAUUAUUAUUGUAUUGUUUUGAAAUAUUUUUGAUAAAUUAGUAUUAAUUUUAAGUGAUUUUAAUAACACAUCAAUGAGUUCCUGAUGAGGGCAGGGAGGUGAAUCCUAAGAACAAUCAUGUGAGUUUGGAAGGAGACCCUUCCCCAGCUGAGCCUCAGCCUGAGCCAUCCCCUACAUCUAGACCGAAGACCCAGAGAAACCGCAACAUUCGAAACCCAGGUGCCACUCCUUCAGGAAGGUACCAUCAAGCUCCAAGGACUCAUCCUCUUUCUCCUUCCCCACUACCUAGUCAUUAGAGCGUCAGCAUCCACUUCCUGAAAGGAAGAUGCCUGUUUUUCACAUAUCCCAGAAAGCCUCAUUUUAGGACAGCAUUUAGCAGAGUGUAUUCAGGAUCCCACUAACCUUUUCGGAAGACAUGACUUCCAGAUGAUAUAAGGCAAGAAUAAGAAAUUUCAGUGACAGGGAACAGAAAUCAUAUUUCUGCAUUCAGGAUCAUGUUUUCUUGGCUCCAUCAGGAACUGUGCAGGACUGUGCACUCUGUUGAUACUCACAUGGUGGAAUUAUAUUGCCCUUGGCCAACCCUAAAGCCAUCAAGAUAGCAGGUUUGGAAUAAUUCACUGUCGAAGUCUUCUUGAGCUGAGCAGUCAUGUGAGCUUGGAAGAUGAUCCCUCUCCAGCUGAUCCUUCAGCUCAGGCCAUCAUCUACAUCUGGAUUCCUGACCCGGAGAAACUAUGAGUAAUGUGUGCUGCUUUUGAGCCACUAAGCUACAUGAAUUAAUGAAGGAUCAUUAUUAAGUUUUUAAUGGGUCAAGAGAAAGUUACCACUGAGGUCUUCUCUACCUGGGCAACAAUUGACUCCUAACAACCACUAUAAGCUUGGAAGAUGAUCCCUCCCCAGCUGAUCCUUCAGGCUCAGACUUUGACAGUCCUCUGAUAUACUUUAUAUGUAAAUAGAUGGCUGAGUGUUCUGGCUGAUGAACAUGGGUUACUUAACCAGAGUUAAGCGAGGACUUUCUCACCUGAAACCACCAAGAGACACAAAAGCCAGAAAAGGACAGAAAUUAAUUCAAGGGUCAACAAAUAGAGUCGGCUUUCUUUAAGACCUGAAGUGUAGAAGUCUAGGUUGAACCCUAGGUUGAUUACGUUGAAGACUACAUUCUCCUGUGAAGCAAGCAUUCCUAAAGG